UUGACUUUGCUGAGAUAUGAAGCAUCCUCUGACUCAGUGCAGGACAGAGGACAACAGCAGGAUUUGGUGUACGCACAGGUGAAAGUCAACAAGCCAGAAAACUGUUUAACACAGAGGAACUCUGAGGCGAAGAAAAUAUGAAUGUCUAAAAAGAGAUCACAUUACAGAAACGUGUUAACAAAGAAAAACACACGUGCUAACACAGCAGCCAGACCCAGAACUUCAGCAGAAAAUGUUAUUUGCAGCAUCAGUUCACUUCAUCCUCAACUUCAUCCAACACUUUUCUUGACAAAUGAUAUUUUCCCUCCUCUUGUUUGUGUAACCAAAACUUGAGUCACAGACUGAAUCAAACAUAGAACAAACCUGAUGACGUGAUUCGAACACAUCCAGAUUGGAGUAUUUUGGUGGAUUCAGCCCACAAACAGCUGAAAACAGUGGUUGUCAUAACAAACAUCUUUUUCUUUUUUCAUAUAUUUUAUGUUAUAAACUGGGUUUAUUGUGCACCAAACUGAAUUACUAAGCAUGUUAAUACUGGGAGAAAUGAGCAUUUGCUGAAGCACACUGUUCAUCACAGUCACAGCUGGCUGUCUUUAACACUCUCAACAUUUUUCUGUCUUAAUUUGUACGCUGACUUAUCCAAACCUGUGCUAAUUAAUGAUAGUGUGCAUUAAUAUGUUGUCUUGUUCAGGAGUGUGCAACACUCAUUGCCUCAUUGUUUCACAGAAUAAUAUUAUUCAUUUUCUGCAAAUGUGUCCAGAAGGUGUCACUGUGGAGAUCAGUGUCAAACUAUUUCAUCCGUGUCAGUGUUUCACAAAGCCUUACUUUACCUACCACACUGAGUAGGUCAAAUUUCAGGCAAUAAGUGAAGAGAAGAGUUGGAAUGACUCUGGAGGAGGAAACAAAACAAGUGGUUGUAAAGGUCAUCCUUACGGAGGGCUGACUGAACAGUGCGUGGCUUUAGCAGCCUCAGUCUCUUCUUGUGAGGAGUUUGCAUGUUCUCCCCAUGUUACCAUGUUGUUCUCUGAUUUUUCCCACUAUCCACAAAAGUCCAACUUAUUGGAAAUUCUCAAUCAUCCACUUAAUCUGUCUCUUAAUUUGAAAAUAAAGCUGAUUAUCUGGGCAUUAAA
Oreochromis niloticus (Nile tilapia) is the source of this 1127-nucleotide long non-coding RNA. RefSeq lists it as uncharacterized. The transcript is spliced from 2 exons. Lineage: Eukaryota; Metazoa; Chordata; Actinopteri; Cichliformes; Cichlidae. The record is from RefSeq and is a predicted model, not a curated record.